This 253-nucleotide ribosomal RNA is filed under the name uncultured bacterium. Its description in RNAcentral is "partial 16S ribosomal RNA". It matches the Rfam family "Bacterial small subunit ribosomal RNA", at positions 524 to 776 of the family's 1533-position model. The record is from RNAcentral.
GACGAACCGUCCUAACGUUGUUCGGAAUCACUGGGCUUAAAGGGCGCGUAGGCGGGUUCCCAAGUCGGUGGUGAAAUCCUUCGGCCCAACCGGAAAACAGCCGCCGAUACUGGGAGUCUUGAGGGAGGUAGGGGUCGAUGGAACUUCCGGUGGAGCGGUGAAAUGCGUAGAUAUCGGAAGGAACGCCGGUGGCGAAAGCGAUCGACUGGACCUUUUCUGACGCUGAGGCGCGAAAGCGUGGGGAGCAAACAGG